GUGAACUGAUCUGAUACAUGCAGCUGUGGGUUGAGCCCAAUCUCACAUGUGAAACUGAUGCUGCUUCCUUUUUGUGCUCUCACUGUUUCACUCCUUUUCUCGUGUUUUUCAUCCUGCUGCUUUAUACUAUUUGUUAAAGGCCUCUCUGAAUUUUUUUGUGGUGCAGAUUAAAGAUGUCAAAUGAGUUGUGCAUCCAUUUAUAGAUAUUCAUUUUAUCGUUAUUACUGAUACUGUAUAUAGGCUUAUUGUAAUAUUAGUAAUAUAGGGAGUGUUUUAGCAGUUUGAUUAAAACAAUUGGGAAAUAAAAUGGUGUAAAAAGUGUUGAUGAAACAAUUCCAUACCUUGUGUUAUAACUGUAAACUGCAAAUAUUUAUAUACUUAAGAACUGUAAACGCUUUUAUAAAUAUAAAUACAUUCAAUUAUUUUGAUUAUAUAUUAUAAAAAAAAAGACUUUUAAGCACUGAGUUCAUCAUUUAAGGUUAAAAAAGAACAUAUGAUCAUACUCACUACAUUUCCCAUAAUUCCUAGCCAUGUCGUGGAGGAUUCUGGGACAGGAAACUUCCGAUUAGGUUUCUGUUUCUGCAGAUUGCUUGAUAUAAUACUCUGGAAAUUAAGAUUUAGUUCCUGUAAUAGCCUUGAUUUGAUGAACUCUUGCAAUAUUAAUAUAUAUUUUUUAAUGUAGCGGCUUCUUAAUUGUGUGGUAAAUGUGAUGUUAUUUGCACUGGGUUCAGCGAUAAUCUGUUGACAGACUGAUCGGCUGAUCUUAAAAGGGCAACACUUCGAGCGAGCGGGCCCCUCAAGGAGCUAUCGCAAGGGACUCAUUUAAGUGUGGUCUGAGUGGCACCGCUCAGCGUGAUGUCAUCCACUAAAGAAACUGUGCUGCGUCAGCGCCGCCGGGAGCUGGACGCCCGCAGGAGUAAGUCUCGCGUGCGUCUGGGCUCGUGUCUGCAGAGCUGGGCUCAACUCAAAGAUAAACUGGGCUUCUCUCUUCACUCGGAGCUUGCUCAGCAUCUGCUGGAGAGCUAUGUUUCAAGAGUUUGUAUGAAGUGUUCAGGUGAUGGGAAAGAAGAGACUGUAUCAACUACAAAGGAGUCUUUGCAGGAACUCAUCUUGAUGGUCCACAACCAUGGACAGACGUGUCCCCUUCCUCCUGUCCUGCAGUGUAGGCCUGUUCAAAAAACAAAACUAUCAACACGCAGUCAGAGUGGAAGAAUAGAGGCUGCUACUGAGCCCAAGAAAUUAGCAGAAGCGGAUGAGUGUUUUAAAUAUACAUGUGAAGAUGGACAUCAUUUUAUGUGGUGUCCUUUUAACCUGGAGAAGGUACUGAUUUCUAAAAAUGAAGGAGAUAAAAUUACAUCCGAACAAGGCAAGAGACAGAUGAAGGAACCAGUCACAGAUACAGAAAGACAAGAAAUGAUGACUAGAUUAAAAACCAGACAGCAACAGAGAGAAGAUGCUGGCACUAACACAAAUAAAAUGCUUGGACAAAAUAAAAAUGCAGAUGUUACAGAGACUCUUGAAGCACAGGACAAAAAUGAUCUGGCAUCUGAUUUUUCUUAUUCAGAGCAUGGAUCUCCAGCAGACAGUGAUGAGAUGACUGUAGAUGUUCCUGUCAGCCAUACUGAUAGCUAUGAAGAAUUUGCAGUGCUGAAUUUAACCAACAGAGGGACCCAAAGUAGUGCAGAUCAUACUGAGAAACUUAGCGUCAGCAAAAAGGCGGGAAUACUUCAAAGUAACAGUUCACAGUCGUUGAAAAAGGAUAUGUCUCAGAUUGGGGGCAAGAGGAAAAGAAAAUCAACAUCCAAAUUAAUUUUAUCUUGUGAGUUUGAUGGCUGCGAUAAGAUUUUCUCCAGUCGACAAUAUUUAAAUCAUCAUAUCAAAUAUCAGCAUCUGCAUCAGAAGACCUUCACCUGCUCGCAUCCCUCCUGCAGAAAGUCCUUUAACUUUAAGAAGCAUCUGAAGGAGCAUGAAAAGUUGCACAGUACGAGACUAUAUCUGUGAGUUCUGUGCUCGGGCGUUUCGAACCAGCAGUAACCUGAUCAUCCACCGCAGGAUACACACCGGAGAGAAGCCGCUGCAGUGUGAAGUGUGUGGCUUCACCUGUCGACAGAAAGCCUCUCUGAAUUGGCACAUGCGGAAACACAAUGCUGAGAGCACCUACCAGUUCCCUUGUGAGAUCUGCGGCCGUCGCUUUGAAAAGAGAGACAAUGUUACGGCUCACCGUAGCAAGAGUCACCCAGACUAUAAUACAGGCACUCUGGAAAGAUCUCUUCCCCUUCCUCCCUCUGACCCACUCCUGCAUCCCUCGAGGCACCGCGGAUCUUCCCCUUCUGUUUCCAAGAAUCAACCCACUGCAGAAUAAGAGUUGUGACAACAGUUUGAACACUCUUGACCUCAAGCAAUCUCUAAUGUGGGAUUGGUUGGUAAACAAAAUCUCCAUGCGGUGCCUUAAUAAUGUUGUUAGUUCUUAUUUUGUUUUUGUUUUUUAGAUUUUUUUCAGAGACCGUGAAUAGACCAUCAGUAUACACAGGUCAGUAUUUGACAAAUUGAGUACGCUUACAUGGACACCAAUAAUCUGAUCUGAAUACUAUUAAGACAAUACUCUGAUUGAUAGUCUACCAUGUAAACAGCGAGUUUUGAUUAAUUUAAUAAAAUUAAGACAUAUGCUGAUUUUAGCCGCAUUAUUGAAGUGCAGUACAGACAUGUAAACUAUGUCAAACUAUUUUCAUCAUGUAGUUUUAUCGCAUUUUGUGACAGGAUAGUCUAUACACACACACGACUGUUUGACACUAUUCUCUGCACCUACCAAGUCAGUGAAGGACCACAGACAUCUGCAUCGUGAAAUGCGGAGAUUCUUUUUUCAUUCGCCUUGAGGUAUCAAAUUCCAUUAAAAACACUUAUCCAGCAGUUCAUACUCACAUCCAAUAUCUCGUUUGUCCCAAAGAGCAUGCAUGAAAUGUUCCUAAAUGAAAGUGAAAGCUAAAAAUGUAAUGAAUUAAAGAUGAAACACCUGAAAUUAUGUGAAACUCCUGAGGAAAUGUGGAUAGCGUGCUGACGCAAUGACGUUAAUUGAAUUAUGGGCUAUAACAUGUUAAACGGAUUUAUGAAAGGAACAUUCACAAAGCAACUCAUGUAAACGCCUUAAUCAUAUUAUUGUCUUAUUCGGAUUAAGGCAAACCAUUUGAUUACUGAUGUCCAUGUAAAUUUAGUCAUUGAAUGUUUGUCUUGAAAUCCUUUUUGUUAAUGUUAUUGGGUGUCUAAAUCAGCUUGGUAAGUCGUGAUGUAUCGUGAUGUUUUUAUUUAAAACGUUUCCAGGUCCAAGCAACUACUCAUUUGAAUUAAGAAAAUUUUAGUUUGUUCACUUGCUGCAUCACAAAUACCAAAAUUUGUAACAAUUUAUAAAAAAAUAUAUCACUUUCUGGCCAUCAGAAAUUAGGCAUAGAUACAUAUAUACAAACACACACACACACAUAUAUUAUGUGUGAUCCUGAUUUUUGGAGAUAUUACAUCACUUUGUAAACGUAUCACCAUUUGAUAAGUCCCCAUACAGUUUGAUAUAGCGCUUGGACCCAGAUCGCAUGAUGUCACACUUAACAAGCUGAUACUACUAAAGGUGUCUUAAAGUGAAUGUUAAGUAAAUUUGAUCUGAUUUUUUUGCCUUAUACACAUUAUUAGUUAGCAUUUGUAAAAUAACAUUUUGUCAGAUAUGAAUGUCUAAAUAUAAAUAAAUAUGCCAUAAAUGUUA
This is a non-coding RNA of Danio rerio (zebrafish), 3745 nucleotides long. The record is from RefSeq and is a predicted model, not a curated record. Lineage: Eukaryota; Metazoa; Chordata; Actinopteri; Cypriniformes; Danionidae.